This 250-nucleotide ribosomal RNA is filed under the name uncultured bacterium. RNAcentral's name for it is "partial 16S ribosomal RNA". It matches the Rfam family "Bacterial small subunit ribosomal RNA", at positions 524 to 773 of the family's 1533-position model. The record is from RNAcentral.
UACGAAGGGUGCAAGCGUUACUCGGAAUCACUGGGCUUAAAGGGCGCGUAGGCGGGCUGUCAAGUCUGGGGUGAAAUCCCGCGGCUCAACCGUGGAACUGCCUCAGAUACUGACGGCCUCGAGGGAGGUAGGGGCAUGCGGAACUGUAGGUGGAGCGGUGAAAUGCGUUGAUAUCUACAGGAACUCCGGUGGCGAAAGCGGCGUGCUGGACCUCUUCUGACGCUGAGGCGCGAAAGCUAGGGGAGCAAAC